UUCCUACCCUCUUCCCAGCCCUUCCGUGGAGUCCCGCUUCCCCUGGACCGGAGGCUGCCAUCUCCAGUCCUACCCACUCCGACGCUGGCUGGUGCCGGGGGCCGGGACGCUCCGUACGCCGCCCGCCAGGGUGUGGAGCCGCACUGGGGCAAGAUCAGGUGGGACAGCCCAAAGACUCCGGGCCAAGUUCCUGGGGGACUCGGCGGAGAUGGAAGAUGAUUCUCGAAGCUCUCCAUUUCCUUAAUUUUGAGCAGACAGAUGCAUGGACCACUGCAGACAUGACAUGCUUCCUUACCAGCACCCCAUCUUGAGGUAGCUGGGAAGCUGUAUCCACCAAUGGGAAUGUCCUGCAGUUCCCCAGCAGGAAUUUCUGUGUACUAGACUAGAGCUUCAGUGGUUGACCUGAAGAUAGCGUUGGUAUUCCCUGGUUUUUGCUCUUCCAGUUCUUCCAGUGGUUUUGUAUGCACCCAUUCCUGACAUUUAAUUCUCCUCUGCUUGAAAUGCAUUGAGUGUUUUUUGUUUAUUUGUCUGUGUGAUGUUGUGAAAUACAUAUCUGGUAUUCAUCCCAUUUCCUGGCCUGCAACUCCUAAAGUCUUGGGAAUCUCCAGACUCCUGCCUUUUUGUAUGCUAAUGUGACUAACAGCUUCAGAAUAGGGCUGGUCACUGGAAAGACAAAGACAUAAUGGGAGUUGAGACUUUCAGCCCCACCCUCAACUUCUCAGUAGGGCAGAGGGUCAAUGAUCAAUGCUUAAUCAAUCAUGCCUUCCUAAUAAAGCCUCUAUAAAAACCCAAGAGCCGGACGUGGUGGCUCAUGCCUGUAAUCCCAGCACUUUGGGAGGCCAAGGCUGGCGGAUCACUUGACGUCAGGAGAUUGAGACCAGCCUGGCCAACAGGGUGAAAUCCCAUCUCUACUAAAAAUACAAAAAUUGGCCGGGCGCGGUGGCUCACGCCUGUAAUC
Molecule: long non-coding RNA, 958 nt
Filed under: Homo sapiens (human)
Lineage: Eukaryota; Metazoa; Chordata; Mammalia; Primates; Hominidae
Description: HSALNT0351029
Source: RNAcentral